Molecule: long non-coding RNA, 1148 nt
Filed under: Homo sapiens (human)
Lineage: Eukaryota; Metazoa; Chordata; Mammalia; Primates; Hominidae
Description: HSALNT0033389
Source: RNAcentral
GGGGAUAUGAUGGCUUAGCUUGGGCUCCGAGGCCUGACACCUGUUAUUAGAUUCUAGCCUUAUUCAUUGUUUUUGAGUUUUUAUUAUUUGCCUAUAAUUUGGACUGGAUUCAGACUUAUUUCCUGGCUGCAAGUCUCCAAACUAACAUUUUCAACUUUUUCUUCCAUUUUCUUGAUUUGGAAUUGUUACUGGAAAGGGGUCCCGAUCCAGACCCUAAGACAGAGUUCUUGGAUCUUGCGUACGAAAGAAUCCAGGGGUUUUUUCUCUGAAAGAUUUUGAAGAACGAGGACAUGUGACAGAAAAUUUAAAAAAUUUCAGGACUUCCACUCCUUAUUCCAAAGAGGCUGAGUUAUGCAACCCCCUCUUGCAAAUGAAUAGCUGUCACUAGCAUUAUGCGUUAGCCAGACCCGCAUGGAAAGGUAAAAGGCCUCAGGCAUCUCCGAAUAACUUCCCCAUAGAUCAUGCAUAAGUAAAUUCUUUGCCAGCCUCCCAUAAACAAGGACAUGCCAGUUGUAACUUUAGGUUUCCAGUGUAUCUCGCUCCUAAAACUAAAGUCUGUUCCAUUCCACACUGAUAAUGUUGAUUACAAGCUUAUCUUCCCAGGUGUAGAACAAAGACAAAUGAGAUCAGUCAUUCCUCCAGCUACCCAAAGAUGUUUGCAUAAUUGAUUCUUCCUUUAAUCCCUUUUUUCUUCAGACAUUCAUCUUAUCUUAUGUAAAAAUGUAGAUUUACUGGGCACUAACUAAAGUCUCCUAAGAAUGUAACCAUUCACCUUUACACCUACCUGCCCAUCUUCCUACGUGCCUUCCUCCCCUUUAAGGAAAAGUAUACAUACUAAACCUCCUGAAAACCUCUUUGGAAAAACAGCCACAGAUACAUCUGUGGCUCACGUUUUUUUCCCUGACACUCCCUGAAGCUGGCUUAAUAAACCUCAAUUGACUGAGAUACUUGCCUCAGUCACUCAUUCUGGUUAUCUUUCCCAACAUGGAUGUCAGCAGUGACAUUAACUACUAGUUCUGCCCCUUACUCUAUGGCAUCACUUGACUGUAAGCACCAUAUAGGCAUGCCACCUUUAUCUUCUUGAUUUUAUUCCUAGUGCCUGGCAUUUAAGACAUACUCAAGAUAUACUUGCUAAAUUGAAACCUCUC